CUACGAUCAAAGUUUCAGUCGGGGAAAGUCACGGCUUCGAUCGGAGGUCAGAGUGUCGACCGACGAUUGUAUAGGUUUUGGAAUAUUAGAUAGGCUGCGAGAGUCGAGACAACGUUAUGCACUUUAUUGUAGGUGUUUAGGAUUAUUUAGUAUAUUUGAUCUUGUUUGGCUAAGAAAUGAAAUAAUAAAAUGAGUAAUUGGGCCAAAAAUUAAAAAAUUAGAAAUGAAACAAAUUAUUGGGCCAAAAAUUUGGAUUUAGAAAUCAUUAAUUUGUUAAUUUGUUUAGAAAAAAUUAAAAUUAAAAUAAUUUGAUUUAAUCAAUAUAAAAAAAAAAAGAAAGAUUCGGUUCUUAUUCGGUUCUUCGGUUCUUGGUCUAGAACCGAGAACCGAACCGUACCCGUCGGUUCUCAAUUCAGAUACCCGUUCGGGUAUUUAAUUUGACAAGAACCGUCGGGUUCGGAUCGGUUCGGUUCGGGUUCGGUUCGGUCGGUUCGGUUCGGGAAAUUUGCCCAGCCCUAUUUUGAACAGAUCAAAACAGUUCAAAAUUGUGCUCACUAACAAUUUUGAAGUCAUGCAAACGAAGGUGCAUCCACUUAUAACGGGUUUUGGGAAGAACUAUAGUCUUCUGAUAAUCAAAAUUUUCAAUUAAUUUUUUCCAAAGAGCCUGUGGAUCUUCCCUAGUGAGAUAUUCACUUUUCAAUCUAUCGUGAAGAUGUGACGAAGGAAGAUGUGUGUUUUUGUACAAUUCUGCAAGGAUUAUUUGUUUCUUUCUCUUAUUGUCUCUCCCAGAUCUUUUAAGAUAAAAUUGAUAUCAACAUCGAAUACCCAUGACAGAUAGUUUUUGGCAGAUAUGUCAAAUGUAGUAAACUCACAUUUUGUGAUAUUUGUCAUUUGAUUAGUCGGGGAAAGUCACGGCUUCGAUCGGAGGUCAGAGUGUCGACCGACGAUUGUAUAGGUUUUGGAAUAUUAGAUAGGCUGCGAGAGUCGAGACAACGUUAUGCACUUUAUUGUAGGUGUUUAGGAUUAUUUAGUAUAUUUGAUCUUGUUUGGCUAAGAAAUGAAAUAAUAAAAUGAGUAAUUGGGCCAAAAAUUAAAAAAUUAGAAAUGAAACAAAUUAUUGGGCCAAAAAUUUGGAUUUAGAAA
Molecule: long non-coding RNA, 1143 nt
Filed under: Olea europaea (common olive)
Lineage: Eukaryota; Viridiplantae; Streptophyta; Magnoliopsida; Lamiales; Oleaceae
Description: long non-coding RNA (OEUR_LNC007509)
Source: RNAcentral